Molecule: ribosomal RNA, 496 nt
Filed under: uncultured bacterium
Lineage: Bacteria
Description: partial 16S ribosomal RNA
Rfam family: Bacterial small subunit ribosomal RNA
Source: RNAcentral
AUGCACGCUGGCGGCGUGCCUAAUCCAUGCAAGUCGAGCGAACAGACGAGGAGCUUGCUCCUCUGACGUUAGCGGCGGACGGGUGAGUAACACGUGGAUAACCUACCUAUAAGACUGGGAUAACUUCGGGAAACCGGAGCUAAUACCGGAUAAUAUAUUGAACCGCAUGGUUCAAUAGUGAAAGACGGUUUUGCUGUCACUUAUAGAUGGAUCCGCGCCGCAUUAGCUAGUUGGUAAGGUAACGGCUUACCAAGGCAACGAUGCGUAGCCGACCUGAGAGGGUGAUCGGCCACACUGGAACUGAGGCACGGUCCAGACUCCUACGGGAGGCAGCAGUAGGGAAUCUUCCGCAAUGGGCGAAAGCCUGACGGAGCAACGCCGCGUGAGUGAUGAAGGUCUUCGGAUCGUAAAACUCUGUUAUUAGGGAAGAACAAAUGUGUAAGUAACUAUGCACGUCUUGACGGUACCUAAUCAGAAAGCCACGGCUAACUACGUG